RNAcentral lists this long non-coding RNA (354 nucleotides) under Nicotiana benthamiana. Its description in RNAcentral is "long non-coding RNA (NBEN_LNC018001)". The record is from RNAcentral. Lineage: Eukaryota; Viridiplantae; Streptophyta; Magnoliopsida; Solanales; Solanaceae.
CUCUUUCUUCAAAACCAGGCCUGGUUUUGUGUAUUCCCCUCUCUUGAAUCUUCCUUUUGCACAAGAAUAUGGAAUUAAAUCUCUUCUAGAAUGAACCCUAACAGAUGGAAGGAGAGGAUUGAUCCUCAAAUCAAUCCACGGCUCCCAUUUUCGGAGUUCAUUCUUCAGAAAUUCCCAAAACAAAUCCGGCACAUGAGAGAUGCAACAAAAUGUCAGAGGCUGUUAGAAUCUUGCUGAGGUGGUAGGACAAAGUGCGCGUGAGUGAAUUUGAUCUCACUCGCUCUAAAUUUCACGAGUUUGGACGCAGAUUUGCAGUGAAGAAGAGAGUGAACAGUCGUUUUGGGAUUAGUUCUU